CCGUGUUGAGUCAAAUUAAGCCGCAGGUUCCACCCCUGGUGGUGCCCUUCCGUCAAUUUCUUUAAGUUUCAGCCUUGCGACCAUACUCCCCCUGGAGCCCAAGCACUUUGAUUUCUCGAAAGGUGCCGAACGCGUCAAGAAAUAACAUCGUCCGAUCCCUAGUCGGCAUAGUUUAUAGUUAAGACUACGACGGUAUCUGAUCGUCUUCGAUCCCCUAACUUUCGUUCCUUAUCAAUGAAAACAUCCUUGGCAAAUGCUUUCGCAGUAGUUAGUCUUCAAUAGAUCCAAGAAUUUCACCUCUGACAAUUGAAUACUGAUGCCCCCGACUGUCCCUAUUAAUCAUUACGGCGGUCCUAGAAACCAACAAAAUAGAACCACACG
RNAcentral lists this ribosomal RNA (381 nucleotides) under uncultured ascomycota sp. JK1-16. RNAcentral describes it as "partial small subunit ribosomal RNA". Lineage: Eukaryota; Fungi; Ascomycota. The record is from RNAcentral.